This 140-nucleotide small RNA is filed under the name Arabidopsis thaliana (thale cress). RNAcentral describes it as "ATSL116550". Lineage: Eukaryota; Viridiplantae; Streptophyta; Magnoliopsida; Brassicales; Brassicaceae. The record is from RNAcentral.
ACAAUUGAAGUUACUCAAUUACUGAAAGAAAAAAGGAAGAUGAUUUGCUGUAUCACCAACGUUUACGGCAAGAGUCCUAACCUUAUCAAUUUGUCUCUUUCAUUUAAGGUUUGGACUCAUAUUAGCUUUCAGUUUUUUUU